UACGGAAGGCAGCAGUGGGGAAUAUUGCACAAUGGGCGAAAGCCUGAUGCAGCUAUGCCGCGUGUAUGAAGAAGGCCUUAGGGUUGUAAAGUACUUUCAUCGGGGAGGAAAAAACAAAACUAAUAAUUUUAUUUCUUGACGUUACCCGAAAAAGAAGCACCGGCUAACUCCGUGCCAGCAGCCGCGGUAAUACGGAGGGUGCUAGCGUUAAUCAGAAUUACUGGGCGUAAAGAGCACGUAGGUGGUUUUUUUAAGUCAGAUGUGAAAUCCCUGGGCUUAACCUGGAACUGCAUUUUGAAACUGAAAUACUAGAGUAUCGUAGAGGGAGGUAGAAUUCUAGGUGUAGCGGUGAAAAUGCGUAGAUAUCUGGAGGAAUACCUGUGGCGAAAGCGGCCUCCUAAACGAAUACUGACACUGAGGUGCGAAAAGCGUGGGGAGCAAAACAGGGAUUAGAUACC
This 458-nucleotide ribosomal RNA is filed under the name uncultured bacterium. RNAcentral describes it as "bacterial SSU rRNA". It matches the Rfam family "Bacterial small subunit ribosomal RNA", at positions 340 to 786 of the family's 1533-position model. The record is from RNAcentral.